UCCCCCCCGCCGCCUCCUCCUCCUGCCGCUGCCGCUGCUUUGGCUGCUGCGUCAUACGCCCCAGAGCCGCCGGGACGGAGGGGCUGGGCCUGGGGACCCCCUGGCCUCCGCCUGCAAGCCCCCCGACGCCCGGACGUGCCCUCUCCGCGCGGGGGACUCGCCUAGGUCUCCUACGUCUGCUCCUGCCCGGCUCCCGGCGGCCCCAGCUGUCACCGCCCCCCCCAGGAUGCAAUGGCGCAGCCCCCCCGGCUGAGCCGUUCUGGUGCCUCCUCACUUUGGGACCCAGCUUCCCCUGCUCCCACCUCUGGCCCCAGACCUCGACUUUGGGAGGGUCAAGAUGUGCUGGCUAGAUGGACUGAUGGGCUGCUAUACUUGGGCACCAUCAAAAAGGUGGACAGUGCUAGGGAGGUGUGUCUGGUCCAGUUUGAGGAUGAUUCACAGUUUCUGGUUCUAUGGAAAGACAUUAGCCCUGCUGCCCUCCCUGGGGAGGAACUCCUCUGUUGUGUCUGUCGCUCUGAGACUGUGGUCCCUGGGAACCGGCUGGUCAGCUGUGAGAAGUGUCGCCAUGCUUAUCACCAGGACUGCCAUGUUCCCAGGGCUCCAGCCCCUGGAGAAGGAGAGGGCACAUCCUGGGUGUGCCGCCAAUGUGUCUUUGCAAUCGCCACCAAGAGGGGUGGUGCCCUGAAGAAGGGCCCCUAUGCCCGGGCCAUGCUGGGUAUGAAGCUGUCUCUGCCAUAUGGACUGAAGGGGCUGGACUGGGAUGCUGGACAUCUGAGCAACCGACAGCAGAGCUACUGUUACUGUGGUGGCCCUGGGGAGUGGAACCUGAAAAUGCUGCAGUGCCGGAGCUGCUUGCAGUGGUUCCAUGAGGCCUGCACCCAGUGUCUGAGCAAGCCCCUCCUCUAUGGGGACAGGUUCUAUGAAUUUGAAUGCUGUGUGUGUCGUGGGGGCCCUGAGAAAGUCCGGAGACUACAGCUUCGCUGGGUGGAUGUGGCCCAUCUUGUCCUCUAUCACCUCAGUGUUUGCUGUAAGAAGAAAUACUUUGAUUUUGAUCGUGAGAUCCUCCCCUUCACUUCUGAAAAUUGGGACAGUUUGCUCCUGGGGGAGCUUUCAGACACCCCCAAAGGAGAACGUUCUUCCAAGCUUCUCUCUGCUCUCAACAGCCACAAGGACCGUUUCAUUUCAGGGAGAGAGAUUAAGAAGAGGAAAUGUUUGUUUGGUCUCCAUGCUCGGAUGCCUCCCCCUGUGGAGCCCCCUACUGGAGAUGGAGCACUCACCAGGGCAGGGCCCUGGGGGAGGGGUCUCACGUCCCCUGGGGAAGCGCCGGAGGCCGGAGCCAGAGCCCCUGAGGAGGAGGCAGAAGGGGAAAGUGGAGGAGCUGGGGCCACCCUCAGCAGUGCGCAAUCAGCCCGAGCCCCGGGAGCAGAGGGAGCGGGCUCAUCUGCAGAGGGCACUGCAGGCCUCAGUGUCUCCGCCACCCCCCAGCCCUAACCAGAGUUACCAGGGCAGCAGCGGUUACAACUUCCGGCCCACAGAUGCCCGCUGCCUGCCCAGCAGCCCCAUCCGGAUGUUUGCUUCCUUCCACCCCUCUGCCAGCACCGCAGGGACCUCUGGGGACGGUGAACCCCCAGACAGGUCACCCCUGGAACUUCACAUUGGUUUCCCCACAGACAUCCCUAAAAGUGCCCCCCACUCGAUGACUGCCUCAUCAUCCUCAGUCUCAUCCCCAUCCCCAGGUCUUCCUAGACGAUCAGCACCCUCUUCUCCUCUGUGCCGUAGUUUGUCUCCUGGGACUGGGGGAGGAGUCCGAGGUGGGGUUGGCUACCUGUCCCGAGGGGACCCUGUCCGGGUCCUUGCUCGGAGAGUACGACCUGAUGGCUCUGUGCAGUACCUGGUUGAGUGGGGGGGAGGCGGCAUCUUCUGAACAGCCUGCCUUUGCGCACCUCCCCAUUCACAUACACCGGCACUUUCAUACCCUGACCUCUGACCUCACCUACAGCUGGGAUGUACCUGGAGAGAUAGGGGGUAGUUCUCCCUGGUGCCCAGGCUGGAAUCCAAGAGUGGGGGGUGGGGAAGAGGCUCUCUUCUCUGCCCUCCUUCAUGAUUCCUGACCCCCCCCAUCUUUCUUCCCAUUUCCUUUGAUGUUAUUUUGUUACAGCUUUUUAAAUAUUUUUUAAAAUUAUUUAACCCCUGGGGGCAGAGACUGAGGAGGGAGGAUGAUAAGGGAACCCGGACUCUGUAUGAUUGAAAUAAAGAGAAAUAAACAAAUCUAGCAGCUCUGA
Molecule: RNA transcript, 2282 nt
Organism: Sapajus apella (tufted capuchin)
Lineage: Eukaryota; Metazoa; Chordata; Mammalia; Primates; Cebidae
Gene: PHF1
Gene name: PHD finger protein 1
Exons: 15
Source: RefSeq, a predicted model, not a curated record